Molecule: ribosomal RNA, 239 nt
Filed under: Eurytemora affinis
Lineage: Eukaryota; Metazoa; Arthropoda; Copepoda; Calanoida; Temoridae
Description: partial 28S rRNA
Source: RNAcentral
CCUAUGAGUCGGGCAGCCCUUGUCACUUGAUCAGCAAUGACUGGUGGCGGGGAGUCUGUUGGGCUCGCGGGCGUAUCUCCACCGGGUGUGACGGUUGGAACUGUUGGGACUGGACCAAAGGCCCGGGAGGAAGUUGGUGCUUCGGCCCCAGCUCCCGGUGUCCUGGCUUCGGACCCGACAGGCACAUGGUCGACUUGUACAGCAAGCAACCCUUCUGUUGCGGUCGGCCAUUCCCUUCC